GGGUCGGUAGCUUAAGCGAUAAAGCCCCUGGCUGAAGACCAGGUGACGAGGAUUCGAGCGCCUCCUGGCCCA
Molecule: transfer RNA, 72 nt
Filed under: Planctomycetaceae bacterium
Lineage: Bacteria; Pseudomonadati; Planctomycetota; Planctomycetia; Planctomycetales; Planctomycetaceae
Description: tRNA-Phe
Rfam family: tRNA
About the family: Transfer RNA (tRNA) molecules are approximately 80 nucleotides in length. Their secondary structure includes four short double-helical elements and three loops (D, anti-codon, and T loops).
Source: RNAcentral